UUAGAAUAAUUAUUUGGAUCACGGGGCCCUAUAUAGGCCCGGCGGGGUGUUCCUUGAUUGGAGAAAACAGAAAACAGCCAACCUGACCGGCCCAUUAUCGCGUCCCGAACGGACGCGUAAUCUACCCACGACCUUCCCUCAGAAUACAAAAAACAAAGUACCCACGACCUUCCUGGUCGUCCCCAGCGCCGCCAUCGGCCUCCUCCGGCAGACCCGCCGGCGGCCUCCCCCCGCAGGCCCCGCCGCCACCGCGGGCCUCCUCCCGCAGACCUGCCGCCGCCGCCGCCGCCCUCAACCGGAGAAGAUGGUGCCCAGCCCCGCCCCCGCCCCCAACCGGAGAUGUCGCCGCCACCGCCGACCACCUUCACAAUCGCCGCCGCCCACCACCCCGACCACCUCCGCAACCACCGCCGACGACCACCUCCUCCGCCCCCCGCCGCGACCACCUCUGCCGCCCACUACUCCGGGGCGACCUGCCCUCGCACUCCGGCGCGACCUGCCCGCCCUUCCAACGCGAUCUGCCGCGUGUGCUCUGGCGCGCCCCAUCCUUCAGGGUCAGAACAGCGCGGGGGGAUCUCGAGCUGCACCACCCGCCGCCGCUCCCCGUGCAGGCUGUUCACCGACGAGCUCCUGCAUCGGUGCCAUCUUCCUGCCCUGCUCCACCUGAACUCUCUCCCCUGAUUGCUCUCUCUCUCUCUCUCUGUGUGUGUGUGUGUGUGUUGUGUUCUUCAAAUAGCAUCAGCUAAGUGCUAUUAGAUGAUCAUAUCUAGUUGCGCAAUCCUCUGUUUUGCUGCUUACUGGGAGAGCCUAUAUACACUAACUAUUCUUGCUAUGGAAUCUGUAAGUUUGGUCCCAACUCUUCUUGCUGCAGGACCUUGUUGCUUGCAUCGCCGUGUCUUUUGGCAAGGAGUAAAUUAUCAUUUGGAGGGGAACAGACUGAUGAAAGCAUACAGGAUAGUAUGCAAAAGACAUUCCCUUCAGUUCUUGAAUCAGAGUGCCGCAGUGAAGAGCAAGAUGCUUUUUUGGUUGAUGAAUUGGUCCGAAUAGAUUGAGAGGCCACGACCACCAGGUUCCUCUCUUUUGGUCUUGUGGUGAAUGCUCUAUUGGGGUGUUCCCAUAGUGAUCGAUGUUCUUGAAGGACAUGAAGUUUGACGCUGUUAACGCGAUGCUUAUGUGUGCAGACAUGCUGAGAUGGAGGAAAGAGCUCGGUGUGAACAUGAUCCUUGAGGCGAUCACGCUGACCUACAGCAAUCUUUGCUUAAUGUCCAACAUUCAACGAGCUCACGUGGACAGGGUUUUGAGUUUGACCGCCCCCUGGCGACACGAGCCUGCCCUCCUCUGCACCACCCCUGGUGGCGAGCCCUGCCUCUGCUGCUGAGGCUGCCGCUGCAUCACUCCCUCCCCCUGCUCAUCUUUGUGCCUGCCAGUUGGUUUAGGUGGCAGCAGUAUAAGAUGUUAUCGCUGGUCUGUUGCCAAUUUACCAUGAACCAUCCUACUAGCGUAACGUAUGCAUUUAUCCAAGGAAUACUGUACCUUCCAGAUUUUCUCGUAUAUUUGUACCAUACAUACUUAUUUUAUUGUUGUGUUGUCAAAAUAGAUGAUCAUGUCAACACAUAAAUUCAGUAACUGAUAUUA
Molecule: long non-coding RNA, 1635 nt
Organism: Aegilops tauschii subsp. strangulata
Lineage: Eukaryota; Viridiplantae; Streptophyta; Magnoliopsida; Poales; Poaceae
Source: RefSeq, a predicted model, not a curated record